This 252-nucleotide ribosomal RNA is filed under the name uncultured bacterium. RNAcentral's name for it is "partial 16S ribosomal RNA". It matches the Rfam family "Bacterial small subunit ribosomal RNA", at positions 524 to 776 of the family's 1533-position model. The record is from RNAcentral.
UACGUAGGGGGCAAGCGUUGUUCGGAAUUACUGGGCGUAAGGGCGCGUCGGCGGUGUGUCAAGUCAGGCGUGAAAGCCCCGGGCUCAACCUGGGAACCGCGCUUGAGACUGGCACGCUAGAGUUCGGGAGAGGAUGGUGGAAUUCCCAGUGUAGAGGUGAAAUUCGUAGAUAUCGAGAGGAACACCUGCGGCGAAGGCGGGUUGCUGGGCUGACACUGACGCUGAUGCGCGAAAGCCAGGGGAGCGAACGGG